Cornus florida is the source of this 150-nucleotide small nucleolar RNA. RefSeq annotates it as small nucleolar RNA snoR2/U65. The transcript has a single exon. Lineage: Eukaryota; Viridiplantae; Streptophyta; Magnoliopsida; Cornales; Cornaceae. The record is from RefSeq and is a predicted model, not a curated record.
GGUUCGAUGCCACGUCGCCGAUAGCCGAUGAGCAUUGAUCGGCGAUGCUAUGAUCGGACCAAAAUCAAUAAUUUGUUUCGCAUUUUGAUAGGAAUCUGUGGACCGUUCAAAAACAGUUCGUCCAUGGAGCCGGUUUAUGUGAUUACAUUU